Molecule: long non-coding RNA, 238 nt
Organism: Dreissena polymorpha
Lineage: Eukaryota; Metazoa; Mollusca; Bivalvia; Myida; Dreissenidae
Exons: 3
Source: RefSeq, a predicted model, not a curated record
GUUUCAUUUCAGGACUCUUUCAAAUUACUGACUUAAAGGUGUAUUAAGAAAUAAGAAUACAGAAUGUUCUGUCAUGAGUGCGGAGGUAAACUUUUGGGAAAUGCAAAAUUUUGCUCCCAUUGUGGAGCAAAGCUUACAGAAAUCACUGGAGCAUUGGAAAAGACUCAUAUCAGUGGACAGCAGGCGGAUUUUAAAGCCAGUGACAGUGAACCAAUACCUGCUAUAUUACAAAAAACUG